CAGUAGCCACGGGAAUACGAAGGGGGCUAGCGUUGUUCGGAAUUACUGGGCGUAAAGCGCACGUAGGCGGAUAUUUAAGUCAGGGGUGAAAUCCCGCAGCUCAACUGCGGAACUGCCUUUGAUACUGGGUAUCUUGAGUAUGGAAGAGGUUAGUGGAAUUGCGAGUGUAGAGGUGAAAUUCGUAGAUAUUCGGAAGAACACCAGUGGCGAAGGCGACUGACUGGACAAGUAUUGACGCUGAGGUGCGAAAGCGUGGGGAGCAAACAGGAUUAGAUACCCGCGUAGUCCCUGUCUCUUAUAC
This 301-nucleotide ribosomal RNA is filed under the name uncultured bacterium. RNAcentral's name for it is "partial 16S ribosomal RNA". It matches the Rfam family "Bacterial small subunit ribosomal RNA", at positions 509 to 807 of the family's 1533-position model. The record is from RNAcentral.